UACGUAGGGGGCAAGCGUUGUCCGGAUUUACUGGGCGUAAAGAGCGCGCAGGCGGUCGUACAAGUCGCGUGUGAAAGCCCCCGGCUCAACUGGGGAGGGUCACGCGAUACUGUUCGACUCGAAGGCAGGAGAGGGAAGUGGAAUUCCCGGUGUAGUGGUGAAAUGCGUAGAUAUCGGGAGGAACACCAGUGGCGAAGGCGACUUCCUGGCCUGUUCUUGACGCUGAGGCGCGAAAGCUAGGGUAGCAAACGGG
RNAcentral lists this ribosomal RNA (253 nucleotides) under uncultured bacterium. RNAcentral's name for it is "partial 16S ribosomal RNA". It matches the Rfam family "Bacterial small subunit ribosomal RNA", at positions 524 to 776 of the family's 1533-position model. The record is from RNAcentral.